AACUUGUCCAGGUUGUAAUAUUUAGAGAUGGGACAUAUCUAAGCUUAAAAGAAGUUUUUUAGAGUUUAGACUAGACUGGGUAAAAUCUUAUUCCUAAAGCAGGAUAAUCUCAUUCAAGGUAUAGAGAGGGAAAUUGGAGCAUUACAAUUGGAAGAAAAGAAGCUUCUUGCUGAGAUAAAGAGAACUGCUAAGAUGGGAAAUG
Molecule: non-coding RNA, 202 nt
Organism: Arachis ipaensis
Lineage: Eukaryota; Viridiplantae; Streptophyta; Magnoliopsida; Fabales; Fabaceae
Source: RefSeq, a predicted model, not a curated record